This 282-nucleotide small nuclear RNA is filed under the name Octodon degus (degu). RNAcentral's name for it is "7SK RNA (ENSODEG00000024306.1)". It matches the Rfam family "7SK RNA". Rfam says of the family: 7SK was discovered as an abundant small nuclear RNA in the mid-70s but a possible function has only recently been suggested. Two independent studies have found that 7SK RNA binds the CDK9/cyclin T complex (known as elongation factor P-TEFb). Lineage: Eukaryota; Metazoa; Chordata; Mammalia; Rodentia; Octodontidae. The record is from Rfam by way of RNAcentral.
GUAUAUAAGGGUGACAUGGAUUUGACAUCUGUCACCCCACUGAUCACCAAGGUUGAUCUGGCUGGUUAGGCAGAUUGCCCUUUCCUCCCUCAGAGCUCCAUGUGCAUCCCUCCUGAAGUUGUAUACUCAACUGAAGAGGAUGACCACACCUGUUAGCAGAGGACCAUUCCUAGGUCAAGGGUCUAUAAUGAGCUGAGCUCCCCUAGAACCUCCAAACAAGAUCUCUUCUAUGAGUAGAUAGUAGCUAAUCUGCUCCUAUGAUGUAAUGUUAUUCAUCUCCAU